GCCAGGCGUGGCAGCGUGCGCCUGUAGUCCCAGGUACUCGGGAGGCUGAGGCAGGAGAAUUGCUUGAACCCAGGAGGCGGAGGUUGCAGUGAGCUGAGAUUGUGCCACUGCACUCCAGCCUGGGUGACAGAGCAAGACUCCGUCUCUA
Molecule: non-coding RNA, 148 nt
Filed under: Homo sapiens (human)
Lineage: Eukaryota; Metazoa; Chordata; Mammalia; Primates; Hominidae
Source: Rfam by way of RNAcentral